UUUAACUAGAUCGUUUUGUUCAUCACCCUGUGUUGAAAGAUAAGCUGCAACAUUACUAGCUGGUCUUUGGGUGGUGAUGGCUCAACCAUGUUCUUGGUCGAUUAAACCAGUAUUUAAAUCAAUCGGGUAAUAAAUCGCAUUGUGUAGAUUAUCUGUAGCAACAAAUCCUUUGGUUGGAUCAUUAUCAUCAACAAAGUAUAGGUGUUUAUAAUCAUUUGUUAAAGUGAUUGCUUGUAGUUGGUUGUUUAACGAAUCAUAAACACCUACUGUUGUUUGUUGGACUAGUUUUCUUUGCUCGUGAUCAAAGAUAACUGUAUUAUUUAAUCUAAUGUAGUUCUUACCUAAGAAUAAGGUUUGAUCGUUAUCGAUCUUCUUAUAUUUAGAUAGGUCGUUACUUCAUUUUUUUAGUGGUUGAUCUUGAUUAGUAGAAUCUUCAACUAAACUAACUGCUUGGUUAGUUAGGUUGUAGUUGAUGUUAGUACUAGUUUUAUUAACCAUUAAACCAGCUGAGACACCAAUUAGUGGUAGUGUUGCUAAACUACCUAAUAAAAUACUUUUUGCGAUUUUUUUGAUUUUCAUACUUGUAAUCAUAUGGUUGAUCGUGUCAUUAUUAUAAUGU
This 619-nucleotide non-coding RNA is filed under the name Mycoplasmoides gallisepticum S6. Lineage: Bacteria; Bacillati; Mycoplasmatota; Mycoplasmoidales; Mycoplasmoidaceae. The record is from RNAcentral.